RNAcentral lists this transfer RNA (85 nucleotides) under Felis catus (domestic cat). It matches the Rfam family "tRNA". From Rfam's summary of the family: Transfer RNA (tRNA) molecules are approximately 80 nucleotides in length. Their secondary structure includes four short double-helical elements and three loops (D, anti-codon, and T loops). Further hydrogen bonds mediate the characteristic L-shaped molecular structure. tRNAs have two regions of fundamental functional importance: the anti-codon, which is responsible for specific mRNA codon recognition, and the 3' end, to which the tRNAs corresponding amino acid is attached (by aminoacyl-tRNA synthetases). tRNAs cope with the degeneracy of the genetic code in two manners: having more than one tRNA (with a specific anti-codon) for a particular amino acid; and 'wobble' base-pairing, i.e. permitting non-standard base-pairing at the 3rd anti-codon position. Lineage: Eukaryota; Metazoa; Chordata; Mammalia; Carnivora; Felidae. RNAcentral also lists the same sequence under 2 other names. The record is from Rfam by way of RNAcentral.
GCCUGGGUGGCUCAGUCGGUUAAGCGUCUGACUUCAGCUCAGGUCAUGAUCUCACGGUCCGUGAGUUCGAGCCCCACGUCGGGCU